This 468-nucleotide ribosomal RNA is filed under the name uncultured bacterium. RNAcentral describes it as "partial 16S ribosomal RNA". It matches the Rfam family "Bacterial small subunit ribosomal RNA", at positions 28 to 507 of the family's 1533-position model. The record is from RNAcentral.
GAUGAACGCUGGCGGCGUGCUUAACACAUGCAAGUCGAACGGAAAGGCCCAAGCUUGCUUGGGUACUCGAGUGGCGAACGGGUGAGUAACACGUGGGUGAUCUGCCCUGCACUUCGGGAUAAGCCUGGGAAACUGGGUCUAAUACCGGAUAGGACGAUGGUUUGGAUGCCAUUGUGGAAAGUUUUUUCGGUGUGGGAUGAGCUCGCGGCCUAUCAGCUUGUUGGUGGGGUAAUGGCCUACCAAGGCGUCGACGGGUAGCCGGCCUGAGAGGGUGUACGGCCACAUUGGGGCUGAGAUACGGCCCAGACUCCUACGGGAGGCAGCAGUGGGGAAUAUUGCACAAUGGGCGCAAGCCUGAUGCAGCGACGCCGCGUGGGGGAUGACGGCCUUCGGGUUGUAAACUCCUUUCGCUAGGGACGAAGCGUUUUUGUGACGGUACCUGGAGAAGAAGCACCGGCUAGCUACGUG